GGAGUCUGGUGGGGUUGGAGGCUGGCCCCUUGCUCCAUCCCACUGGUCUGUCCCUAGGUGGAGAGGCAAGGCUGCUGGAAUCCUGGUUGGGAGUACAGGCACGGGACACAGAGUAUCUCAUCCUCAUCAGGACCUAACCUCGAACAUGGAGCCGGGCACUUGUGGCCGUGCUCCCUGCCCGCAAAGUCACGGUCCCUGCAUCCCCCAGUUGGCAGCCUCGCAAGGUUAAGAUGCGGCUUGAACCAUUCUGGGCCAUCUCCACCUGGGGCCCUGGAGUGACGACGGCCCCAUUGCGCAGCCAGGUGACAUCGGCAUCUGGUGGGGAGACUUCACACCGGAACGUGGCAUCAUCGCCCUCGUGGACAGUGAGUGGUGUCAGCUCCGAGACCAGCUUCACCAGCAGUGGCUCUAAGGGGCACGAGACUGCCCACCUGUGACAGUGACAGUGAAGAAGGCCGAGUCAUCUCCAGCAUCACAUACAAACUCGCCCCCGUCCUCGGGCUGAGCAGCAGGUAGCACCAGGCGGCAGCGUGGCCCAUCCCUCUCCAGCACCAGGGCCUCGCUCUCCUCCACUUCCAGCCCAUCCUUGUACCAGCGCACAGGGGCAUCCUCCCGAGACAGUUCACACAUCAGCACCACACACUCCAAGGUCACGGCGAUCAAGGUCACCUCAUCGCGAGGGUAUAUGAUCCGCACUGGGGGUUCUGCAGGGUGGGGACAACCACAGCCUGUCACAAGCUCACCGUCAGCCUCUCUGGAGCCAUUCGGCAGCAUGAAGUCCCUAUCACCCACAUAAUAAUGAGAAUAAUAAGUAAAAUAAUAAUAAG
Molecule: long non-coding RNA, 827 nt
Filed under: Homo sapiens (human)
Lineage: Eukaryota; Metazoa; Chordata; Mammalia; Primates; Hominidae
Description: HSALNT0309099
Source: RNAcentral